CUGGAUCACCUCCUUAAAGGGAGACCUAAUUCAGGUAGGAGACGAAAAAAAAGUAGUCGCUACCAAGAAUCAAUCCCAAAAGGUCGGAGCGAGGCGAAAUUGGCUUUCAAACUAGGUUCUGGGUUCAAACAAGACCUGAAUCAGGAACAAGGGCUAUUAGCUCAGGUGGUUAGAGCGCACCCCUGAUAAGGGUGAGGUCCCUGGUUCGAGUCCAGGAUGGCCCACCUGUACAGGUGGCAAAAACAAGAGAAGCGAGGAAUCAGCACCUUAUCUUACUGACAUAGUAAGAGAGAAUGCUGGCUCUGAGUUCAGAGUCCAGAGGAACCUUGAAAACUGCAUAGAGCUAGGUGAAAAAGCCAAAAAAGAAGACCGCAAGGUCAAGCUAAUAAGGGC
This 393-nucleotide transfer RNA is filed under the name Microcystis flos-aquae NRERC-205. RNAcentral's name for it is "partial 16S-23S ribosomal RNA intergenic spacer". The stretch from base 151 to 224 matches the Rfam family "tRNA". The record is from RNAcentral. Lineage: Bacteria; Bacillati; Cyanobacteriota; Cyanophyceae; Chroococcales; Microcystaceae.